UAGGGAAUCUUCGGCAAUGGACGAAAGUCUGACCGAGCAACGCCGCGUGAGUGAAGAAGGUUUUCGGAUCGUAAAACUCUGUUGUUAGAGAAGAACAAGGACGUUAGUAACUGAACGUCCCCUGACGGUAUCUAACCAGAAAGCCACGGCUAACUACGUGCCAGCAGCCGCGGUAAUACGUAGGUGGCAAGCGUUGUCCGGAUUUAUUUGGCGUAAAGCGAGCGCAGGCGGUUUCUUAAGUCUGUUGUGAAAGCCCCCGGCUCAACCGGGGAGGGUCAUUGGGAACUGGGAGACUUGAGUGCAGAAGAGGAGAGUGGAAUUCCAUGUGUAGCGGUGAAAUGCGUAGAUAUAUGGAGGAACACCAGUGGCGAAGGCGGCUCUCUGGUCUGUAACUGACGCUGAGGCUCGAAAGCGUGGGGAGCAAACAGG
Molecule: ribosomal RNA, 429 nt
Filed under: Gemmatimonadota bacterium
Lineage: Bacteria; Pseudomonadati; Gemmatimonadota
Description: Gemmatimonadetes bacterium partial 16S ribosomal RNA
Rfam family: Bacterial small subunit ribosomal RNA
Source: RNAcentral